RNAcentral lists this ribosomal RNA (301 nucleotides) under uncultured bacterium. RNAcentral describes it as "partial 16S ribosomal RNA". It matches the Rfam family "Bacterial small subunit ribosomal RNA", at positions 509 to 807 of the family's 1533-position model. The record is from RNAcentral.
CAGUCGCCGCGGUAAUACAGAGGGUGCGAGCGUUAAUCGGAUUUACUGGGCGUAAAGCGUGCGUAGGCGGCUUCUUAAGUCGGAUGUGAAAUCACUGAGCUUAACUUAGGAAUUGCAUUCGAUACUGGGAAGAUAGAGUAUGGGAGAGGAUGGUAGAAUUCCAGGUGUAGCGGUGAAAUGCGUAGAGAUCUGGAGGAAUACCGAUGGCGAAGGCAGCCAUCUGGCCUAAUACUGACGCUGAGGUACGAAAGCAUGGGGAGCAAACAGGAUUAGAGACCCCGGUAGUCCCUGUCUCUUAUAC